This 644-nucleotide long non-coding RNA is filed under the name Malus domestica (apple). RNAcentral's name for it is "long non-coding RNA (MDOM_LNC015731)". Lineage: Eukaryota; Viridiplantae; Streptophyta; Magnoliopsida; Rosales; Rosaceae. The record is from RNAcentral.
UGUUAACGGGUCGUGUAAGAAAUUGUUAGGUCUAAUGACCACCUAGAGGAUAGAAGAUGAAUUACUCAUAAAAAUGUGACAACCCGUCCCAAAUUUUAUAAUUUUAUAAAAUUUAAAAUGUGAAAUUAUAAAAAUGUCCUAGAGGCGGAAAGUUUUGACUUUCACUGACCAACGUGUUGUGAGAUGUACUAAAUAUUCUCUUAGCGUAUUCCUGAAGUACUCGACGAUACAAACGCAUAAACGCAUGAAGAAGUGAAUUUGGAGUUACGGUUAAAGUUUCACGUAACUAUAAAUUUGGGAAGUACGUUUUGAAGGAGUCCCAUUUAUUAUUUUAUAUAUUUUCAUAGGUAUUGAUAUAUUGGGGGGAGAAGAGAGACUGGGCAGGAUAGCCCAAUCGGAGAAGGAGGGAGAUAGUUUUAGGAGGAAAAGGAGGGAAGAUGGUGGUGAAUGGAGAGAAAAUAGAGGAUAUGAGGGCCAAUCAGAAAGAAAGGAAAGGAGGGCACGGGAGAGAAGGAGGAAAGAGAGGGAAACCGGGUUUCCCUUGUCGCCACCACCCUUAAACGACUCUAAGACCCUCAUCCCUCUACCAUUUCUAUUUCUGAAUUGAAGGAAAUAGGCUUAGAUUCGUGAUGAUUCUCAUCAAG